UUUCCAAGCGGAGGCAAUGACCUGCGGUCCGUAUGUGGGCGCCUGGACUGUAGAAAGCCGCUGGUGCAACCGGCCGCUGCACU
RNAcentral lists this non-coding RNA (83 nucleotides) under Desulfotomaculum sp. Its description in RNAcentral is "c-di-GMP-II sequence". It matches the Rfam family "Cyclic di-GMP-II riboswitch aptamer". RNAcentral also lists the same sequence under 1 other name. The record is from RNAcentral. Lineage: Bacteria; Bacillati; Bacillota; Clostridia; Eubacteriales; Desulfotomaculaceae.